GCCUGGGACCACGCAGGAAGGAGAUGAGAGCCAUAAAUCAUAAUAUAGGAGACAUCUACAAUAACGAGGCCUGGGAAUCCCUUUGCUGAUUAUCUUCACAUUUGAUUUGCAGUCGCUUCACCUGGUCGUUAGUGGUAGAAUCAACCAGCACUACGUCUGGAGCUCGCUGAGGUGGCGGCACAAGAGGCUGCAGGAAAACUGGUUGAAGCAGAGCAGCUCGUCGCCGCCGUACGUGUUCACUGAGAGAGGAAGGGAAAGACUUUUAACAGCUGUACAGUCGGGAGGAUGAAAAACCGUGAGGACUCUUUCACCAUCAAGGAGGAUAACAGCCCCGGAGCCUUUGUCCAAAAUGUCUGCGAUGGUGGCCUCCGAGGGUUGAUGCCAGAGGUGGAGGAUGCAGCAGGAGCAGAAGUUGGGCCGGCGUCAACGUUCUGCCCCGACUCCACCUUGGACAGUACGCUCACAAUGGACUGAAGAGAUUCUGCAAAGAGAGAGAAAUCCUGGUUAAGGCA
Molecule: long non-coding RNA, 512 nt
Organism: Phyllopteryx taeniolatus (common seadragon)
Lineage: Eukaryota; Metazoa; Chordata; Actinopteri; Syngnathiformes; Syngnathidae
Exons: 3
Source: RefSeq, a predicted model, not a curated record